This 467-nucleotide ribosomal RNA is filed under the name uncultured bacterium. RNAcentral describes it as "partial 16S ribosomal RNA". It matches the Rfam family "Bacterial small subunit ribosomal RNA", at positions 29 to 507 of the family's 1533-position model. The record is from RNAcentral.
ACGAACGCUGGCGGCGUGCUUCACCCAUGCAAGUUGAACGGAAAGGCCCUGCUUUUGUGGGGUGCUCGAGUGGCGAACGGGUGAGUAACACGUGAGUAACCUGCCCUUGACUUUGGGAUAACUUCAGGAAACUGGGGCUAAUACCGGAUAGGAGCUCCUGCUGCAUGGUGGGGGUUGGAAAGUUUCGGCGGUUGGGGAUGGACUCGCGGCUUAUCAGCUUGUUGGUGGGGUAGUGGCUUACCAAGGCUUUGACGGGUAGCCGGCCUGAGAGGGUGACCGGCCACAUUGGGACUGAGAUACGGCCCAGACUCCUACGGGAGGCAGCAGUGGGGAAUAUUGCACAAUGGGCGGAAGCCUGAUGCAGCAACGCCGCGUGCGGGAUGACGGCCUUCGGGUUGUAAACCGCUUUCGCCUGUGACGAAGCGUGAGUGACGGUAAUGGGUAAAGAAGCACCGGCUAACUACGUG